Pelobates cultripes (western spadefoot toad) is the source of this 902-nucleotide non-coding RNA. The record is from the annotation of a GenBank genome assembly. NCBI's taxonomy places the organism in Eukaryota, Metazoa, Chordata, Amphibia, Anura, Pelobatidae.
CUUCAUUAGUAUCUUUUGUGAUUUCCUUUUUUUGUGGUUCAUUCAUAAAGUCCAUUCUAUAUAUUUAUUUAUUGGUGGGAAAAUAAGGGAAGAAGUGGGAAAAUAUGAAAUCAAACCAUUUACUUGCAGUUUCUGCCUGCAGUCUCAUUCAAAGGCAAAUCUAUUGUGAGUGUAGCUGGAAUUAUCACUUAAAGAUCUGUCCUUGCAUUUAUUUACUAAACAUUAAACUACAUAAAAUGUAAACCAAAUGGCAAAUUUCAGGCUAAAGUAGCCUAGCUUAGUUGUCAGAUAUUCCGAAAAUUACUAUUUUGUCCUAAAUUUUAAAUCUCUUUUCCAUUUUACUUGUUAAAAGCCUGAUUUGAUAAAUAGUAUUGUAAUCUUCUGCUUAUGAGUUCGUCAUCUCUCUUAAUUUUUAAUUGCCAGAUAUACGCUGUAGAUUUGUUCUUACAUAGGCCUGAUAAGACACUGCUAUGUAGGAACGUCUAGGAAUGACACAUACAUAAAUCGUAAUAACGAAAUGUAUAGACACAUUAUAUCUCACGAAUACCUUCCAUGUAUAUUUUUUUUAACAUAUAGGAUUUGAAGUAUAACCUACAAUUCCAAGACUGUUGUCAUUUCUGAGUAACAAUAUGUAAAUAUGUGGAAGAAUUAAAAAAAAAUAAAAAAACCCAACAAAAUGGAUUAAAACCAGUAACUAUUUACCAUGUAAGAUGUAUGAGUUGAUGGGAUCACACUUAUAACACUUAUCACUCUCUUUAAUUUUUGUAAGGCUGUUUGGGAAGCAGCACACUUUCUCGGCUCCUUUCCACACCCCGCCGCCGCACAGAGCGCACCGUGCAUGCGUGACCACAUCAUGAUGCCCCACUUUCGCUGUCUGAAGCGCAGUAUGAUCUCUCGACCAC